Molecule: ribosomal RNA, 278 nt
Filed under: uncultured bacterium
Lineage: Bacteria
Description: partial 16S ribosomal RNA
Rfam family: Bacterial small subunit ribosomal RNA
Source: RNAcentral
AUUGAACGCUGGCGGCAUGCCUUACACAUGCAAGUCGAACGGCAGCACGGGGGCAACCCUGGUGGCGAGUGGCGAACGGGUGAGUAAUAUAUCGGAACGUACCCUGGAGUGGGGGAUAACGUAGCGAAAGUUACGCUAAUAGCGCAUACGAUCUAAGGAUGAAAGUGGGGGGAUCGCAAGACCUCAUGCUCCCGGAGCGGCCGAUAUCUGAUUAGCUAGUUGGUGGGGUAAAGGCCUACCAAGGCAUCGAUCAGUAGCUGGUCUGAGAGGACGACCAG